RNAcentral lists this long non-coding RNA (385 nucleotides) under Rattus norvegicus (Norway rat). RNAcentral's name for it is "long non-coding RNA NONRATT009149". The record is from RNAcentral. Lineage: Eukaryota; Metazoa; Chordata; Mammalia; Rodentia; Muridae.
GGUGGGAGUCCGCAGAAAACCUGCCCGGUGGUAUGUCCUCUAGCUGCACCUGCGGGUCCCAAGCUACGCCCUGGCCUUCCCUCACGCACCUCCGCGCCUCUUAAGAGCUAGAAGGAGCAAGCUCCUUCGUCUCGAAUGUACUGCGCCGUUCCUCGUCCCUCAACCACCUGUCUCCGCUUCCCUUCCCCGAAGCCUCUCCAAGUCGCCGCACCCCGCGCAGUACCACACUCGCCGCCUACUGGGAAGCCGAGUCACGGGGCACCGUUCAGGUUCCUGCGCCCCGGUCUGCGGCCCCUCAGGCCUGCGCCGCCCAGGCCACGGUCCGUUCCCGCCUGCCUGCGAGGCAGCAGCGGAGGGAUAGGCGCGGCCGAACUCGGCAAGCCGA